AAUAGAUUAGGACACAACUAUGUACAGGUUGGGCAACCAGGUGAAGACACAGGGAAAAAGAAAGCCAUCUAUCAGCCAAGGAGAGGGGCCCUGGAAGGAACCAGUUCUGCCAACACUUUGUCCUUGGACUUCCAGCCUCCAGAACUAUGAGAAAAUAAAUUUGAGUUUAAACCAUCCAGUUUGUGGCACUUUGUUAGGACAACCUUAACAAACUCGUACAGUGUUUAAAGUUAAAAAUGGGUACCCUGAAUUAAAGGGGUUUUUUUUUGUUUUGUUUUUUCCACUUGGAUAAAUACCUGAGUACUCAUGAAGAAAGGAAAUUUGUCACACUCAUUCAUUAUGACCUUGGGGCUUAGAAGACUUGAUGCAAUCUAUUCUGUUUUGAUUGUUUAAAACUGCAUUCAACAGAACGCCCUCCUCAUUUCAUUCUCUUAGAGAAUCAGGUUAGAGUGCAUCCUCCAUGGAAACUCGCUGGAAUGAGGACCAAACUCAGAGCAUGGUUAUGAAAAUACAUGCCAACCUGGGAGUGGGGUGCUGGUCAGGAGAACAAGGAUCACUCAAGUUGAAUGCUCUCUGGAUUGGACAACAGAAGGCCUGGUUCUGCCCUUAGCUCUGCUGUUCACUGGACUCACAUCUUCUGUUUGUCAGGUAAAAAGUCAUGUUCUUCAGCAGCAGGAGUUACAGCCAAGAGAUGAAGAAGGGACAUAGCUAUUUAAAAUACAAUGAUGCAAAUAAACACAUAGAAGUAACUGAAAGUAACUGUGGAGAGACCUUGCCUGAGAGUCUGUGGACUUGAAACCCAGUGCAAACUCCAUUGCUGAGCAACUAGAGAGGAAGGGUCUGACACUGCAUUUUUAUGAUUCUGAUUCAUCUUCCUGAGAAAUACAGUUGUGUCUCAAGAGCAAUGAAUAGCAGUAAAAAGUGUCCUGGGCUGCUGAUUCCAGGCAGCACCUAAAUAGAAACACUGGAAGAGAUGAUAAACAUGAACCAGUGCCCAGUGCAAUUCCUGCCUUUUGAAGAGAAUGUAAGGUGGUCUUGCUCUUGUUGAUGUAAAUACGUGGAAAAUAACAGCCACAAAACACCUCACUUUUCUGUCUCUUUGAACAGUUCUGUAUGUUGAUUGAGUAGAUAAUUUGCUAAAAAUGACAGUGUCUCACCACCUAAGAUAGAGAAGUGUAAAAAUUAAAACAUUGAGCUUGUAUACACAUGUGUGGGUGUGUGCUUGUGUAUAUUCACAAGGACAUGUAGGUCAUGGGUGAAGAGAUAAUUCACUGUCAGCUGAGAAUCAGGUGUUGAUCAGGAGACUAACACCUGACCUUUCUUAAGUUUAUAAGGGCUUCCAUCGCCAGAAGAAACAAAAGCAAUACCCACCAUUUUUCUGGCCUCUUUAUCUCUAUGAACAGCUCUCCAGUCAGUGUGGUCUGCCUAAUCAGGCUUCUCUCAUCUGAUGAAUUAUUCUCGGAGAUCUUUCUCUUAGGCACUGCCCCCAAACUCCCUACUUAUUUGGGUAACACUCCUGGAGUUCUGAUUGGGUGUCCUGUCUGAAGGUGGCACAUCCUGUCACUCUGUCCUCUGCCUCUGGCUUUUAAAUCUAGGAUUUCUUCCAUUCUUUCAAUUUGGAUCCAAAAGAUGAAAGAAGGAGCUGGGUGUGUUUGUAAACCCCUGUGUUAGGUCUCAGACUCCCAGAUGGAUACGUCAGUGCCUGGAGGAGAGCUCAUUAAAGACCUAAUCACACAGGCUUCAUUGACUCACAGGCUGCUAUCUUGUUGCUGGUGUUGGGUUGUUUUUUUGUUUUGUUUUGUUUUGUUUUUUUUCCCCUCUCUCUCUUUCAUUAUUUUCUUGGCACCUCUAGCAUGGUGUUGAAGAUCAUCUGAGACUGACACAGAAUGAUAUGUGAUGUGAGGAAGUUGGAAGCAAAUGUAUUUGCUGCACUGGCACAUGGACCACACAUUUCUGAAGCUGGGUAGUCUUAUUUGACUAGCCUGUCUUUCUAGGUCAGAGCUUAUGCCUUUAACCCCUGGAUGCCUGUCCUUCCCUCUUCCCAAAGCAAGAAUGUCAGAGGAACUUAAAGGACUUACCUUAAGAGUUAUAUUCAUUCUGAUCAGAUUCAGUGUCAACAGGGUCAUGCAGCAAGAGCAGGCACACAGAGGUAAAGAAAGCAUCACGUUAUUUAGAACAGAUUAUGUAAAUGAGAAAAUAAGUUUUUUUUUUCUGCUUGCAGUAUUCUGAAAAAGAACAAAACAAAGCAGAACUGGCACUAAGAACUUAUAAUUCCAUUUUCUUUUGUUUUCCUUUACACAACUUCCCUGGCUUUGGAAAAGUAUCAUCCUCAUCUUUUUUAGGAUUAUAUCAUAGAGCUGAAUUUAGAGCAGAUAAUGUAAGGACAGACAUAGUAGCGUAAGAAAGUCUAAACAGCUUUGGCGGGCUGGAGAGUUAAAUAACAUGACAGUGUCAACCACUGCGUUGAGUUUUGUACAAAAUGGGUAAUAAGAAGCUAGAAGCAGAAAACAUUUCUACGCAUACAAACACAUUAUUAAGAACAUGAGGAAGGCAGGCUUUGCUUGUGCAAAUGACAUUUGAGGGGUCUGACCAGCAAAGAAACUAAGAGAUUGAAGGAUGGCUGGAAGUGGCGAGUGAAAGGAGGGUAUAUAUUAAGUAAGAAAAGUCCAGCUGUAUACAAAAGGAUCUGGGUCUCUUAUUUGGUUGCCAAAACACAAUCCAAGAGGGACUUGGAGGGUAAGCAGAAGUUGACUGUCUUCCACAGGGUAACCUCAGUUUCUGCACAUGCACAGGUGGGUCGGAGGCAGCUGUGAGCUGGCAUCCUGGGAGACUUCAUGACUGGAUGGCAUCAUGGGAAUUGGCCCUUCCUGUGCAAGACAAUUUGUGAAAUCUCAUUCAUGUGUCCAAAUGCAUGAUUAGGGACUUGCAGGAAGCACCCAUGUUCACACAGCUAUCAUUCAGACACAAAACAAAAUACAAAACACCAAAUGUCUCUUGAGCGGAGCCAGAUCUUUCUUAUCUUUGAACAAUCAAAACUUAUAAAAGCCUCAGGGAACUGAAAUGAUUUAUGAAUGUUCAGAGUUGCUAAACUUUUGACAAUUGUUCUUGGGAAAAUAAAAACUGUCUACAUUAUCCUGUAUUACCAUACUGAUUUUGACCAAAAAAAAAAAAAAAAUUGUUUCCAAAAAAAGAGUGUUGCUGCUUGCUUGUUACUUUUUUCCCUUCUAUUUAGACAUUACAUUAAACAACAACAAUAACAAGUUUAAGCUGAUCUAAGUAAGAGCAUCUGGGAAAAACAGAACCUUCUCAAUAGAAUGAUAGUAAAAAUCUCUGUCUGUCUUGGUCUGGGCUACAGACUGCACCCUGUCACCAGGCUGACCGAAUAGACAUUCAUAACCUCUUAAACUACCAGGGAAAAUCGUAGGCUCUAUGAUAUGCGGAUUCAGGCCUGGCAAAAAGAGCAGAUUGGUUUAAAAGCCUAGACAAAUAUUUCUCUAUCGUGGACGCUCCCAAGUCCUGCUACCUUUACUUUUUCUGCGGUGGAUAUGUUUAUACAGCAAUUAGCAGGAUACCACUGAUGUUUAUCCCCAUGGAGAAAAUAGUAAGCCAAUCUAUUAUUUUCUAAACCAUUCAUUUAUAAAUGGAUCACAAAGUGUUUUAUUUGCCUCCUUUAAUCAAGUGAUUUCUGAAGAAUGUUCAGCUGUCAGGUUUUUUCCCCUGGAUAUAGAGCCUGGGAGAGGAGAGUGUAGCAGCAGUGAAUUACAGUGAGAAAGAAGCAUGAUUUAUAGUCUCUUUACUCAUGUCAAAGGUAAAUUCAAAACGUGGAAAAUGUGGUGAACUAAAAACAUAACAGAUCCAUCAUGGUUAAAGGCAGAUUUUUUUUUUUUCCUCCUCAGCAUUAAUUGUAUGGUAU
This is a non-coding RNA of Sus scrofa (pig), 3913 nucleotides long. The record is from RefSeq and is a predicted model, not a curated record. NCBI's taxonomy places the organism in Eukaryota, Metazoa, Chordata, Mammalia, Artiodactyla, Suidae.